RNAcentral lists this ribosomal RNA (730 nucleotides) under Mycoacia fuscoatra. RNAcentral describes it as "partial large subunit ribosomal RNA". It matches the Rfam family "Eukaryotic large subunit ribosomal RNA", at positions 132 to 851 of the family's 3401-position model. Lineage: Eukaryota; Fungi; Basidiomycota; Agaricomycetes; Polyporales; Meruliaceae. The record is from RNAcentral.
GGCUGCCCGAGUUGUAGUCUAGAGAAGUGUUUUCCGCGCUGGACCGUGUACAAGUCUCUUGGAACAGAGCGUCAUAGAGGGUGAGAAUCCCGUCUUUGACACGGACUACCAGUGCUUUGUGAUGCGCUCUCAAAGAGUCGAGUUGUUUGGGAAUGCAGCUCAAAAUGGGUGGUAAAUUCCAUCUAAAGCUAAAUAUUGGCGAGAGACCGAUAGCGAACAAGUACCGUGAGGGAAAGAUGAAAAGCACUUUGGAAAGAGAGUUAAACAGUACGUGAAAUUGUUGAAAGGGAAACGCUUGAAGUCAGUCGCGUCGUCCAGAACUCAACCUGGCUUUUGCUUGGUGCACUUUCUGGUUGACGGGCCAACAUCAGUUUUGACUGUCGGAAAAAGUCCUUUGGAAUGUGGCACCUCCGGGUGUGUUAUAGCCUUUGGUCGUAUACGAUGGUUGGGACUGAGGACCGCAGCACGCCUUUUGGCCGGGGUUCGCCCACGUACGUGCUUAGGAUGUUGGCGUAAUGGCUUUAAGCGACCCGUCUUGAAACACGGACCAAGGAGUCUAACAUGCCUGCGAGUGUUUGGGUGGAAAACCCGAGCGCGCAAUGAAAGUGAAAGUUGGGAUCCCUGUCGUGGGGAGCACCGACGCCCAUACCAGACCUUCUGUGACGGAUAUGCGGUUGAGCAUGUAUGUUGGGACCCGAAAGAUGGUGAACUAUGCCUGAAUAGGGUGAAG